RNAcentral lists this unclassified non-coding RNA (202 nucleotides) under Hevea brasiliensis (rubber tree). The record is from RNAcentral. Lineage: Eukaryota; Viridiplantae; Streptophyta; Magnoliopsida; Malpighiales; Euphorbiaceae.
CUUUAAUUAGAUAAGAUACUGAAAUGAUGUUAGGUUUUGUCUUUUGAAAAAAUGAUGGAGAAGGAAAGUUGGGCUUGAUGGUGUAACAAGAGUAGGCAAAGGGAUUAUCGAAGGGAAGACGUGGAUGAUGGAGAAGGAAGGUUGGACUAGAUGAAGGUGUAGCAAGAGCAGGCAAACGUAUUAUCGAAGUGAUGAUGUGGGG